RNAcentral lists this ribosomal RNA (390 nucleotides) under uncultured Lactobacillus sp. RNAcentral's name for it is "bacterial SSU rRNA". It matches the Rfam family "Bacterial small subunit ribosomal RNA", at positions 150 to 525 of the family's 1533-position model. Lineage: Bacteria; Bacillati; Bacillota; Bacilli; Lactobacillales; Lactobacillaceae. The record is from RNAcentral.
GUGGAACAGGUGCUAAUACCGGGAUAAGAAAGCAGAUCGCAUGAUCAGCUUUUAAAAAGGCGGCGUAAGCUGUCGCUAUGGGAUGGCCCCGCGGUGCAUUAGCUAGUUGGUAAGGUAAAGGCUUACCAAGGCGAUGAUGCAUAGCCGAGUUGAGAGACUGAUCGGCCACAUUGGGACUGAGACACGGCCCAAACUCCUACGGGAGGCAGCAGUAGGGAAUCUUCCACAAUGGACGCAAGUCUGAUGGAGCAACGCCGCGUGAGUGAAGAAGGUUUUCGGAUCGUAAAGCUCUGUUGUUGGUGAAGAAGGAUAGAGGUAGUAACUGGCCUUUAUUUGACGGUAAUCAACCAGAAAGUCACGGCUAACUACGUGCCAGCAGCCGCGGUAAAU